GACGAACGCUGGCGGCGUGCCUAAUACAUGCAAGUUGAGCGAUGAAGAUUGGUGCUUGCACCAAUUUGAAGAGCAGCGAACGGGUGAGUAACGCGUGGGGAAUCUGCCUUUGAGCGGGGGACAACAUUUGGAAACGAAUGCUAAUACCGCAUAACAACUUUAAACAUAAGUUUUAAGUUUGAAAGAUGCAAUUGCAUCACUCAAAGAUGAUCCCGCGUUGUAUUAGCUAGUUGGUGAGGUAAAGGCUCACCAAGGCGAUGAUACAUAGCCGACCUGAGAGGGUGAUCGGCCACAUUGGGACUGAGACACGGCCCAAACUCCUACGGGAGGCAGCAGUAGGGAAUCUUCGGCAAUGGACGAAAGUCUGACCGAGCAACGCCGCGUGAGUGAAGAAGGUUUUCGGAUCGUAAAACUCUGUUGGUAGAGAAGAACGUUGGUGAGAGGGAAAGCUCAUCAAGUGACGGUA
RNAcentral lists this ribosomal RNA (466 nucleotides) under uncultured bacterium. RNAcentral describes it as "bacterial SSU rRNA". It matches the Rfam family "Bacterial small subunit ribosomal RNA", at positions 28 to 477 of the family's 1533-position model. The record is from RNAcentral.